RNAcentral lists this non-coding RNA (30 nucleotides) under Rattus norvegicus (Norway rat). Lineage: Eukaryota; Metazoa; Chordata; Mammalia; Rodentia; Muridae. The record is from RNAcentral.
UCAACUGUUGCAGGACCUCCAAUGUUGUAG